GUCAUUUUCACUUCCUGGAUGCACACAGCUGACAGUGCUGCACAAUGAAAAUACUCACUUUAUUGAGCUUAUUUUCCACAUAUUUAUUAGCAAAUGGCGUUAACAUCGAGGAUAGCGCAGGGCAAUUCUUCAGCAGUGGUCACACCAAUAACUGGGCUGUUCUGGUGUGUACAUCCAGAUUCUGGUUCAACUACCGUCAUGUGGCCAAUACUCUGUCUGUCUACAGAAGCGUUAAAAGACUGGGCAUCCCUGACAGCCACAUAGUCCUGAUGCUAGCUGAUGACAUGGCUUGUAACCACAGAAACCCGAAGCCAGCCACAGUGUUUAGCCACAAGAACAUGGAGCUGAAUGUGUAUGGAGACGAUGUGGAGGUGGACUACCGAGGAUAUGAGGUGACGGUGGAGAACUUCUUGCGAGUUUUAACUGGAAGGCUGCCGCCCAGCACUCCACGCUCCAAACGCCUCCUCUCUGAUGACCGAAGCAACAUCCUCAUAUAUCUUACAGGCCAUGGUGGAAAUGGCUUUCUGAAGUUCCAGGACUCGGAGGAGAUCAGUAAUGUGGAACUGGCCGACGCUUUUGAGCAGAUGUGGCAGAAAAGAAGGUACAACGAGCUGCUCUUCAUCAUUGACACCUGUCAGGGCGCCUCAAUGUAUGAGAGGUUCUACUCUCCAAACCUCAUGGCUCUGGCCAGCAGUCAAGUUGGAGAGGACUCCCUGUCGCAUCAACCAGAUUUGGCCAUCGGAGUCCACCUGAUGGACCGUUACACCUUCUACCUGCUGGAGUUCCUGGAAGACAUCCACCCUGCAAGCAAAGCCAACAUGAACGACCUGUUCAAAGUGUGUCCCAAGAGCCAGUGUGUGUCCACUCCAGGCCACCGUACUGACCUAUUCUUGAGAGACCCAGGAAGUGCCCUUAUCACAGAUUUCUUUGGCAGUGUCCGCAAAGUUGAGAUCACAAUGGAAACCAUCAACUUGACCAACCCUAUUGAGCCACUGGAAGAAAAUCCUGUGAAUGGAGAGCUGCAAACAGAGGUUACAUACUCAUACGUGGACCAGCUGCCAGUGUCUGAGAUCAUCCAUCAGAAACCCAAACAGAAAGACUGGCAUCCUCCUGAUGGCUUCAUCCUGGGGCUGUGGACCCUAAUCCUCCUGGUGUUUUUCAAGACUUAUGGCAUCAAGCACCUCAAACACAUCUUCUGAGGGCUCCAUGUUUACGUCGCUGGAUAUCAGAGGAUGUGGAGCUGAGGGAGACCAGGAGCCUGGACUGAAGGGAUAUUAGAGGGAAGGAGCAGUUUGUGACAGGCUUGUUUUUUACCCUCCAUGGAGCUGCCUGGCCAGAUAUGCUUACACCUCUUGACCGUCAUAUCAUGCUUGUGAAGGAUAACAACCCUACAUAAUACCAUAUCACAUGAUGGACCCAUCUACUUUACCAUUCACCAAAUUGCCCUCGUAGCUCUCUAGCUGUGUACUCCACUGAUUGUAUUCUGGCUGAUGGACAGCUAUUUCCCAGCCAUUCAACGUCUCAUGCUACAACAGCGAUAAGUGAGUGAUAACCUAGUAAGCUGCCAGCCAUCCCAAAUGAAUCUUCUCAUUGCUGGGACAUGUUUUCCUCCUUUUUUUUUUCUUUCUUUCUCUCCAUAUGUAACCACUUUACAUUAGGGCCAUUGUUGGGGGAAUGACUGAUGCUCAUGGCAUAUGGAUUGAACCGGUGGUAGUUUAUCUUUGCUCCCUUGGCGUGUGGACCCGCCCAUCGGGGUGCCCAGUGCCACUCUGCCUGGCGGCUGAUGUGGAAAAUAGAUGGAGCUGGAAAUGAAACCAUAUGUAUCAGAAGGCAGCUGCUGUGUCAGCCACUGUGUACCUUUUCUUAUACAUUAUUUAUGCAACACUUAUUUCCUCCUCCUGAUUCCUCCUUGUUUCUUAUUUCCUGUAAUCUUAUUCCUCCUGCUUCCCUUUUGGUGAGAGCUAGCACAUUUUAUUUCCUCAAUUGGUGAGAUUUUGAUGCCCUGAUUAAAGAUGAAAUACUGAAUCAAAGGAAUGAAUGUAUGUCUUUAAUUGCCUUUUUUUCCUUUUUAAGAAGAUGUUAAGCUUCCUUAAUUCCUCUCUAAUACUAUUUGAAGACACCAGAUCUGUUUUAUUGUUACAAAACCUUGAAGGUACAGUGCAUUCAGAAAGUACUUGAACUCCUUAUUUUCCUUUGUUCCUCAUCAAUCUACACUCAAUAUUCCAUAUUGACAAAGUGAUCUCUCUUGAUCAUCUUUAAGAUGUUUCUAGACCUUGAUUUUUACAUCUUGAUUGGAGUCUGCUUGUGGUAAGUUUAAUUGAUUGGACAUGAUUUGGGAAGGCACACACCUCUUUAUAUGAGGUCUUGCAGCUAACCAUGAAUAUCAGAGCAAAAACCAAGCCAUGAGGGCUUUGUUAAAGGUUCCUAAAAGCACUUUGGCUUUUAGAACCGCAGGACUCUUCCUCGAACUAGCUGCCCAGCCAAACUGAGCAAUCAGGGGAGAAGGGCCUUGGUACGAGAGGUGACUAAGAACCCAGCGGUCAGUCUGGCUGAGCUCCAGAGACCCUGAUUGAGAAGGGAGAA
RNA transcript from Scomber japonicus (chub mackerel), 2583 nucleotides. It is a transcript of the gene named phosphatidylinositol glycan anchor biosynthesis, class K, with no coding region annotated. The transcript has 12 exons. The record is from RefSeq and is a predicted model, not a curated record. Lineage: Eukaryota; Metazoa; Chordata; Actinopteri; Scombriformes; Scombridae.